CACGUAGUUAGGCCGGGGCUUCUUAGUCAGGUACCGUCAUUCUCUUCCCUGCUGAUAGAGCUUUACAUACCGAAAUACUUCUUCACUCACGCGGCGUUGCUGCAUCAGGGUUUCCCCCAUUGUGCAAUAUUCCCCACUGCUGCCUCCCGUAGGAGUUUGGGCCGUGUCUCAGUCCCAAUGUGGCCGGCCACCCUCUCAGGUCGGCUACUGAUCGUCGCCUUGGUGGGCCGUUACCUCACCAACCAGCUAAUCAGACGCGGGUCCAUCUCAUACCACCGGUAGUUUUUCACACCAGACCAUGCGUCCUGUGCGCUUAUGCGGUAUUAGCAGUCAUUUCUAACUGUUACUCCCCUGUAUGGAGGCAGGUUACCCACGUCGUUACUCCACCCGUCCGCCGCUCAGUCAUACACGCUUCCAUCCGAAAACUUCCACAUCUAUGCUUCGCUCGACUUGCACUGUGUUAACGCUACGCCGACCAGGCCUUACAUCCGUGACGCCGAGGUAA
RNAcentral lists this ribosomal RNA (505 nucleotides) under uncultured Lachnospiraceae bacterium. Its description in RNAcentral is "partial 16S ribosomal RNA". The record is from RNAcentral. Lineage: Bacteria; Bacillati; Bacillota; Clostridia; Lachnospirales; Lachnospiraceae.